ACUAAAUUGUAACGACAUAGCAUAUGAAUAAUCCCAACUUUUAACGAACGAUAAAGUAACCCACGCUAUUUCUAAAGAGCGUACAAAAGAAACAGCGUGCAAAACUAAAAAGCGCAUAAGUAACAUGGGACAGAGGAAAUACUGUUUGCUUUCGAGAAAAAGAAAGCCAUCUCGUAAUACUACUAGACAUCCGAGCCCGUACCAGCACAAGCCCAACCUAGGUAGUGCUUAGUAUGCAUUUUAUGCAAUAAGAUCCAAGUAUAACUUAUUUGAAAGUCAAGUUUAUACUUUUAUGAUCUAAUUUAUCAAGUUUUAUAAAGUAAAUUUGAUAAUGGGUCAAACUUCAAUGUUCACUUAACAAUUAUCCGCUUGAUUUCAUUUUGUGUGAUGCAUUUUUCAUUUUAAUUAAUUAUCCCAAGAGAAUAACACCUAAUAUUUUUAAAUAGUUUAACUUUAAAUUUUUUUAUUUUAUCUUCACUUACAAGAUUCAUAAUCAUAAAAUGCUAUAACAUAUUUUACAGAUUGUAAGUAAAAAAUCUAAAUACCAUCACAUAGAGUGAGAUGGAGGGGUAUAAACUACAUAAGCUGUAUGAAACAACCCAACAACUAUCAAGAAAUUGUCCUCUUUACUUUUACUGUUCCUAUUUUCCAUUAGUAUAUAUUGCGUAAGAAUCUUUCCUUUCUGCUAUUCAACUAUUUUACGUUGGAUAUUUUUUAAAUUUU
Molecule: long non-coding RNA, 723 nt
Organism: Lycium ferocissimum
Lineage: Eukaryota; Viridiplantae; Streptophyta; Magnoliopsida; Solanales; Solanaceae
Exons: 2
Source: RefSeq, a predicted model, not a curated record